CUCUGCCUACGGGGCGCAGCAGUGAGGAAUAUUGGUCAAUGGCCGGAAGGCUGAACCAGCCAAGUCGCGUGAGGGAAUAAGGCCCUAUGGGUCGUAAACCUCUUUUGUCAGGGAGCAAAGGCGUCCACGAGUGGACCAAAGGAGAGUACCUGAAGAGAAAGCAUCGGCUAACUCCGUGCCAGCAGCCGCGGUAAUACGGAGGAUGCGAGCGUUAUCCGGAUUUAUUGGGUUUAAAGGGUGCGUAGGCGGAGUGUCAA
This 257-nucleotide ribosomal RNA is filed under the name uncultured bacterium. Its description in RNAcentral is "partial 16S ribosomal RNA". It matches the Rfam family "Bacterial small subunit ribosomal RNA", at positions 332 to 586 of the family's 1533-position model. The record is from RNAcentral.